This 639-nucleotide long non-coding RNA is filed under the name Nicotiana benthamiana. RNAcentral describes it as "long non-coding RNA (NBEN_LNC019203)". The record is from RNAcentral. Lineage: Eukaryota; Viridiplantae; Streptophyta; Magnoliopsida; Solanales; Solanaceae.
CAUCACACCAUUACCAACUAUUACUUCUUCCGUUUCCUAUGAAGCAUGAAAUCAAAGUAAGACAGAAGGUGGCAAUGGUCCAAAACCAAAUGUCAAGAUGUGGUAUGAUAAUUUGUUGGAGAAUAUGACACUGAAAGAUUAAUUUCCACCCAUUUACUGCCAUGUAAACUGAGAACUUUACAUCCCUUCUGCAAGAGCUGGAAACUGUGACACUUUAGGAUGAUAAAUAGUGACCCCACAUUUUGGAAUGGCAAAAAGAGUGGUAAAUUUACUGUUAAAUCUUGCUACGGGGAUAUCGUCUCAAUCAGGUGAAGAAGAAAACCACUGUCUUGAUGAAUUAUUUGGAAAACCAAGUUGAUUUCUUUGGAUAGAUAGCAUCACGCAGAGCAUAUUUGGCACAUGGCUACUUACAAAGAAGGGGAUUCCGUCUCUGCAGUGGAUAUCUUAUGUGAGACGAAGCUAAUGAAUAAGUCAAUAAUCUCCUUCUACUUUGCAUACGAACAUUGAAAUAUGGAUAAAUAUUCCUGAAUAUCUUUGGUGUCCAGCGGCUCAUGCCAGGCGUCAUGAAUAGGGGCGGAGGCACAAGUUGCUCUACCGGUUCGAUCGAACCCAGUAACUUUUGCUCAAACAAUAUAUUUG